Oryzias latipes (Japanese medaka) is the source of this 2175-nucleotide non-coding RNA. The record is from RefSeq and is a predicted model, not a curated record. NCBI's taxonomy places the organism in Eukaryota, Metazoa, Chordata, Actinopteri, Beloniformes, Adrianichthyidae.
GGCGCGCUGCGUGGGCUGCUGGAGUGUCUUCAGCGGGUGGCAGAUGGCGAUGUAGCGGUCCAGAGUCAUCAUCACCAUCAUCUUCUCUUGAGGAAUUUCCAUCCACUUCCAGUCCAGAUGGAACAAAUCUUCCCUCUGUGAUUCCAGGCCUCCACCCCGCUUCCUGUAGUCUGUAAAUCUCCCAGUGAAGGCUCCCAUGAGGCGUCUUUAUCAACCACCCAGACCACCCCAAGCGGCUGCCGGUUCACUACCAGAGUCUGUGAAAUUCCCUCCGGAGCAGCGCCAGCGUGCAGAUAGCAACUCAUUUAGCUGGAAGGCUCUGCAGAUGUUUGCAGUAAAGCGUCAGGACAAAGAGGUGGGAAACGCAAAGCAGAGUCGCAGCAUCUCCUACAUGAAGCCUUCAGCCAGAGCGACCCAACCAAAGCGGCCACAGGCGCCAUUCAAAGCCGUUCCUCCCUGGUGGGGCCACCAUCACCAACGACAGCAGCAGAAGAACGUUUGACUGUUACGGUCUGUCCCACAUGGGACGUGCAGGAGGUUGUUCCACCGUUUUAGAAGUUUAGAAUUCAGAUGCAGAGAAAACGGUUUGAUGGAGGCGGAUGAACUGCAGUGACCCUGGAAAGAAGCAGCUCCAAACAUUUUGGUUUGAUGUAAUGGAACCGCGACAGCUUCUCCCCAACAGGAGCAGAUUUGUUGCUUUCAACUCCACAAGAACUUCCCUCCAGGUCUGUUCUGGAUGACGGACUUCUUGAAGUGGUUUGAUGGCAGUUUAGUUGUUUUAUUUUUUCAAAGUUUGUGACCAGAGUUGAUGUAAGGGAUAAUUGAGCAUUAUGCUGCUUAUACCACGGUUACUUAAGUGUCAAAUAAGAUUCCCCGGCUGCAGCAAAUUUGAUCCAAAAUGUAAGGAGGAAAAAUGUCUUUUUUCUCCUUUUAGACAUGGCAACAUUGCUGUAGAAUCCAAUUAGAAAAACUGCUCUACCUAUAAAAGCAGUUCUAUAUGGCGACAUCCGAUACAUUGGGCCACUUUUUGAUUAAUCGCUUGGGAAACUGAGAAAAAAAACAACGUAUGACAAUUGAUUAUGUUCCUAAUAUUAAUAAUAAUCAUUUUCAGGGUUUUUGUGUUGAAUUUAUAGAAUAAAAUAUUAUUGCUAAAACUCCACAGCUGUUGAAAGAUCCGCUGUCCCACAAUUUUGAGAUGAGCCACAGUUAGGAACUGGAUGUUUUGUAAUAAAAUCAAAUUAUUUUAAGAGCAACAUGUUGGAACAUUACAAUAACAGUUAUUAAAUGUGAUUUAAAAAAAUCGGACAAUUGUCUGUUUCCUCACAUUUGAAGUACUUUGCCUCUGAAGUAGAAACAGUUGUUCCAAGUAUCUGCUGUUCCGGUUACCAACUGGCAUUUAGGGAAGCGCAGUAACAUUUGUGUGACCAGAACUUCUUUUUGCAGUCUCCACUAUGACUGUUUAAUGCAGCCAAUCAGAAUUGAGUAUUCCCCGGGGUCAUGGUAUACCUUCUGAUAAAUAACUGUGGUGCUUUGUGGCUCAGCCGUUCUUCUAUUACUAACAGCUGCUUUGUGUCUUCAACCUCCCAUCACCUUUGGGCCUUCCUGUUUGGAGAAGACCCUAACCCACUUAAGCUCCUCCACCUGGAGCUGGGACUGUUUCUGUUUCUGAAAGAAAGCGAUCCAGGCUGCUUCAUACCCCCAAAGUCAGCUCGUUGACUGUAACCCGACAACAUGAAGAGCUCAGAACGACUGUGUAAAGUUCAUCCCCUGAGAUAAACCACACGUGCACUUUGAGCGCUCGCUGCCUUACAAGGCCAAGCGUUCAUAUCUUAAUGUUCAAUCUAUAUGCACGGAGCAGAGCAGGGCUUUGGGAGCCGCAGAGGCUGACUGUGUUUUUCAUGUCGGAGGCAGAGCCAGCAGUGGCUGCAGACCAUUACAUAAUGUUUGGUGGUUAAACAAUGGCGGGGCCUGUCAGGGUUAUAGAUUUAUGACGCAGAAACUCUGGAGGCUGACGGGACGCCAUCGCCGCAGAUAACACGGGCUUGAUAAGACUGAGGCGCGGUGGAGGUGUUCGACUGCACUUCUGUUUGCUUUUUUAUUCCCAGACCAGCAGUUUUCCCUUCAGCUUGGUCGUCACAAAAAAAUAUGAAGUUAAAAUUAAAGCCGUUUGUGUUU